CCCUCGGACGCCGCAGCCGGUUGGGAUCAGAGCGGGUAUUCAAGCAGUGUGCGCCGGGCCUCUGUCGAUCACGGCCCCCGCGGGGCUAGGCGGCUUGCGGCGAGAAAGUCGGUAACCCACCCGACCCGUCUUGAAACACGGACCAAGGAGUCUGACGUGUGCGCGAGUCAAGGGGACUUGAACAGGCCCAAAGGCGUAACGAAAGUGAAGCCGUGAUGCCGCGGCCGCAACGGCGACCCGGUCGGUGUUUGAGCGCACAGGUUGGUACCCGAAAGAUGGUGAACUAUGCCCGACCGGGACGAGGUCAGAUGAAAAUCUGAUGGAGGUCCUAAGCGCUUCUGACGUGCAAAUCGAUUGCGAGAGUCGGGUAUAGGGACGAAAGAUCAAUCGAACCAUCUAGUAGCUGGUUCCCUCCGAAGUUUCCCUCAGGAUAGCUGGCGCUCAUCGAAUCGCAUUUAUUAAAGCGAA
Molecule: ribosomal RNA, 468 nt
Filed under: Longileptoneta sp. n. 10 HZ-2020
Lineage: Eukaryota; Metazoa; Arthropoda; Arachnida; Araneae; Leptonetidae
Description: partial large subunit ribosomal RNA
Rfam family: Eukaryotic large subunit ribosomal RNA
Source: RNAcentral